RNAcentral lists this ribosomal RNA (484 nucleotides) under uncultured bacterium. RNAcentral describes it as "partial 16S ribosomal RNA". It matches the Rfam family "Bacterial small subunit ribosomal RNA", at positions 30 to 507 of the family's 1533-position model. The record is from RNAcentral.
AUUGAACGCUGGCGGCAGGCCUAACACAUGCAAGUCGAGCGGAUGAAGGGAGCUUGCUCCUGGAUUCAGCGGCGGACGGGUGAGUAAUGCCUAGGAAUCUGCCUGGUAGUGGGGGAUAACGUCCGGAAACGGGCGCUAAUACCGCAUACGUCCUGAGGGAGAAAGUGGGGGAUCUUCGGACCUCACGCUAUCAGAUGAGCCUAGGUCGGAUUAGCUAGUUGGUGGGGUAAAGGCCUACCAAGGCGACGAUCCGUAACUGGUCUGAGAGGAUGAUCAGUCACACUGGAACCGAGAAACGGUCCAGAACCCUAAGGGAGGCAGCAGUGGGGAAUAUUGGACAAUGGGCGAAAGCCUGAUCCAGCCAUGCCGCGUGUGUGAAGAAGGUCUUCGGAUUGUAAAGCACUUUAAGUUGGGAGGAAGGGCAGUAAGUUAAUACCUUGCUGUUUUGACGUUACCAACAGAAUAAGCACCGGCUAACUUCGUG